AUCAUACUCCCUCCGUUCCAUAAUUCUUGUCGAAAUAUUACAUGUAUCUAGACACUUUUUAUGGAUAGAUACAUCCAUUUUUGGACAAAUUUGAGACGAGAAUUAUGAAACAGAGGGAGUAUAUG
Non-coding RNA from Brachypodium distachyon (stiff brome), 125 nucleotides. Lineage: Eukaryota; Viridiplantae; Streptophyta; Magnoliopsida; Poales; Poaceae. The record is from Rfam.